GGCAUAAAGGGAGGCCCAGGGGAUGGAGGCAGAGGGGACAGUCCCCAGGCCCUGGCCCUGAUUUUCAGGUGGCCACUGGUCAGAACUGUCAGCUGUGCCUGUCCCCCAGACUGCAAAUUGAAAACAGCAAAUGUAGCUCUAUUCUUUUCUAUUUUCCUCCCCCCUCCAUCUCUGCCCCUUUUUUCUUGUUUCUUUCUUUCUUUUCUUUUUUUUUUUGUCAAUGAGGAAUACAAGGCCACUGCCAAAAACAUAUCCCACACAAUCAAACAUCAGAUGGUGACUCCUUUCCCACAGCUUGUGAGAAAUGCUCCUUCAGAACUCGAUCUUGAAGGGUACAGUAAAAGACAGACGCACGCACACACAGACGCCCACAAACCUUCAGCCUGAGGUGGAGACUUCCGUUCUAUUUUUCUCAGCCUAUUCCGGGAUCUGGACACAUGAGAGAACAGAACAUAUGACAUCAAUUAAAACAUCACUCGAUUUUCA
This 486-nucleotide long non-coding RNA is filed under the name Pan troglodytes (chimpanzee). RNAcentral describes it as "long non-coding RNA NONPTRT009465". The record is from RNAcentral. Lineage: Eukaryota; Metazoa; Chordata; Mammalia; Primates; Hominidae.